This is a long non-coding RNA of Amphimedon queenslandica, 258 nucleotides long. RefSeq lists it as uncharacterized. Lineage: Eukaryota; Metazoa; Porifera; Demospongiae; Haplosclerida; Niphatidae. The record is from RefSeq and is a predicted model, not a curated record. The transcript is spliced from 3 exons.
AGGAACAUCAUUGCUGGUUCUGCCAUUGACUAUUUAACUAGCAAGUUAUGCUAUAAUGUUACAAGAGCUUAUAUGGGAUCAUUAAUGACUUCAUUGGAAAUGGCUGGAGUGUCACUAACAUUAUUAAGAAUGAAAGAUCACUGGACAGAAUAUCUUGAUUAUCCCACUACUGCUCCUGGUUGGCCUACACAAUCCAAAGAUCCCAACCUAACUAAGGCUAACUUAAUCUACGACAAAAUUAAUAUUUUUGUACAUAUG